This 383-nucleotide ribosomal RNA is filed under the name uncultured bacterium. RNAcentral describes it as "bacterial SSU rRNA". It matches the Rfam family "Bacterial small subunit ribosomal RNA", at positions 376 to 774 of the family's 1533-position model. The record is from RNAcentral.
CGCAAGCCUGACGGAGCAACGCCGCGUGAGGGAUGAAGGCCUCUGGGCUGUAAACCUCUUUUCUCAAGGAAGAAGAUCUGACGGUACUUGAGGAAUAAGCCACGGCUAAUUCCGUGCCAGCAGCCGCGGUAAUACGGGAGUGGCAAGCGUUAUCCGGAAUUAUUGGGCGUAAAGCGUCCGCAGGCGGCCUUGAAAGUCUGUCGUUAAAGCGUGGAGCUUAACUCCAUUUCGGCGGUGGAAACUACAAGACUAGAGUGUGGUAGGGGCAGAGGGAAUUCCCGGUGUAGCGGUGAAAUGCGUAGAUAUCGGGAAGAACACCAGUGGCGAAGGCGCUCUGCUGGGCCAUAACUGACGCUCAUGGACGAAAGCCAGGGGAGCGAAAG